GGAGAGGUGCCAGAGUGGUCGAUCGGGGCUGACUCGAAAUCAGUUGAACGCGUGAGCGUUCCGGGGGUUCGAAUCCCUCCCUCUCCGCCA
RNAcentral lists this transfer RNA (90 nucleotides) under Gammaproteobacteria bacterium. RNAcentral's name for it is "tRNA-Ser". It matches the Rfam family "tRNA". From Rfam's summary of the family: Transfer RNA (tRNA) molecules are approximately 80 nucleotides in length. Their secondary structure includes four short double-helical elements and three loops (D, anti-codon, and T loops). The record is from RNAcentral. Lineage: Bacteria; Pseudomonadati; Pseudomonadota; Gammaproteobacteria.